CGGGGGGCAGCAGUGGGGAAUAUUGGACAAUGGGCGCAAGCCUGAUCCAGCAAUGCCGCGUGAGUGAUGAAGGCCUUAGGGUCGUAAAGCUCUUUUACCCGGGAUGAUAAUGACAGUACCGGGAGAAUAAGCCCCGGCUAACUCCGUGCCAGCAGCCGCGGUAAUACGGAGGGGGCUAGCGUUGUUCGGAAUUACUGGGCGUAAAGCGCACGUAGGCGGUUACUCAAGUCAGAGGUGAAAGCCCGGGGCUCAACCCCGGAACGGCCUUUGAAACUAGGUGACUAGAAUCUUGGAGAGGCGAGUGGAAUUCCGAGUGUAGAGGUGAAAUUCGUAGAUAUUCGGAAGAACACCAGUGGCGAAGGCGACUCGCUGGACAAGUAUUGACGCUGAGGUGCGAAAGCGUGGGGAGCAAACAGGAUUAGAUACCCGCGU
RNAcentral lists this ribosomal RNA (432 nucleotides) under uncultured Sphingomonadaceae bacterium. Its description in RNAcentral is "bacterial SSU rRNA". It matches the Rfam family "Bacterial small subunit ribosomal RNA", at positions 342 to 791 of the family's 1533-position model. The record is from RNAcentral. Lineage: Bacteria; Pseudomonadati; Pseudomonadota; Alphaproteobacteria; Sphingomonadales; Sphingomonadaceae.